Molecule: unclassified non-coding RNA, 253 nt
Filed under: uncultured Verrucomicrobiota bacterium
Lineage: Bacteria; Pseudomonadati; Verrucomicrobiota
Description: uncultured Verrucomicrobia bacterium contains 16S-23S intergenic spacer region
Rfam family: Bacterial small subunit ribosomal RNA
Source: RNAcentral
UACGAAGGUCCCGAGCGUUGUUCGGAAUCACUGGGCGUAAAGGGAGCGUAGGCGGUGCGGUAAGUCAGAUGUGAAAUCCCGGGGCUCAACCCCGGAACUGCAUCCGAUACUGCCGUGCUUGAGUGAUGGAGAGGUAGCUGGAAUUCACGGUGUAGCAGUGAAAUGCGUGGAUAUCGUGAGGAACACUCGUGGCGAAAGCGAGCUACUGGACAUUUACUGACGCUGAGGCUCGAAGGCCAGGGUAGCGAAAGGG